RNAcentral lists this ribosomal RNA (253 nucleotides) under uncultured bacterium. RNAcentral describes it as "partial 16S ribosomal RNA". It matches the Rfam family "Bacterial small subunit ribosomal RNA", at positions 524 to 776 of the family's 1533-position model. The record is from RNAcentral.
UACAGAGGUGGCAAGCGUUGUUCGGAAUUACUGGGCGUAAAGGGCGCGUAGGCGGCCUUCUAAGUCAGACGUGAAAUCCCCCGGCUUAACCUGGGAACUGCGUCUGAUACUGGGAGGCUUGAGUAUGGGAGAGGGAUGUAGAAUUCCAGGUGUAGCGGUGAAAUGCGUAGAUAUCUGGAGGAAUACCGGUGGCGAAGGCGGCAUUCUGGACCGAUAUUGACGCUGAGGAGCGAAAGCCAGGGGAGCAAACGGG